GGGCCGCAAUACGUUCGCCACCACUAGUUGGCGCUGUCUUCCACUGCGCCCCACGUGGUAGGUCAGGAUAGACUCCGCCAUUGCAAGAUGGCUCCAACCUUCGCCGCGCCAGCCGGCCCCCCCUUUCAGGUAGUUAACUGUGCGCAUGUGCAAGAGUGCCUUCCUGCCAGGUCUUUGCCCAUUCCGGGGCGUGCCUGAUGAGAUCAUGAGUAAGCAACCAAUCAGGUGUGGAUGCGUACUCCAGGGUUAAAUAGGCGCGCCUGGCCGGCGCGCGGGGCCUCUCCAUGAGAUAGGAAUAAAGUAUCACUCAUAGCAAGAAUUUCUAUGUCUCGCGUGCUUCUUGCCGGCGGAAAGUCGCGCGCGGGACAUUUGGUGCCGAGAAACCGGGACAAAAACAUCGCCGGCGCUACGAGAGGCCUCCGUUUCACGGAAGAAAUUCAGAAGCUAUGGAAUACAGUGUCUUACAGAAUUGGGUUUCAACACGUUGGUGGACUAGUCCAGAAAUUGAGACAAUCCAUCGCCCAUAUCAGCUCCACUCGAUGGAUAGUCGCCGUGAACACCAUCUGGCUUUUUCCCCUCUUUGUCUAUUGUUUGUCUCUGGUGCACCAGGAUGUCCCCAUGUCUGUCAGUGUAUGUCUGUGGUUUUUGUUUCUCGUUGUCUAAAAGUUUUAUGUUUCAUGUUCAAAAGAAAAAAUGGUAAAAACUUUAUCUGCCGGUCGUGCGCACCUUGACUUGGUUUUAACUCGUUUCAAAAAGGAACAAAUGAAUAAAAAAGUUUCAAUCAGGUUUUUAAAGCCCUGUGCCUGGAGCCAGGUGUCUAGAUUAGCUGGAGAAGCUGACCAGAAGCUAAGCGUCUACACGAGCUGAUCUUAAAAGCGCCAACAGCUUCUUCAUACAAGAGUUGAUAGCUGUUUCUCUUAAAAAAAAUCCCUAACUUAUUACUUGACUCAACAGGUGACAAGGUGCUUCUCUUAAAAUUAUAGGUAAAAGGGUAAAAAUGAUGUUUGGUCUAUAUAUUAAAGAUAGGUGUAGCCACUUCAAUUUUGUUUCUCAUUGGUUUUAAAUGUAUAAAUAUGCUCUGCUUGCCUUGGUUGUGGACUAUUGGCUUUCAAGUUAUUAGAUAUGGUUAUAAGGGUAUAAUAUUGGUAACAGAAAGUUGACAUAAAGCUGGUAAUCUGGAUGGAGUCAUUCUAGAUAACAUGUGACAUGAGCCAACCCAGGGAAACAGGUCUAAAUUGAGGUAAUAUUUUUAUGGAACUCUUAUCCUAGAAACCAGGCUUCUAAAAGAAUUUAGGACAUUGUCCCUUGUUGAGGUAUUGGAGACCACACCAUUGUGCGUCCAAAUGUAAGAAUUGACAGUCAAACUUUGUAACAUAAUAGAUAGACCUGGGGUGCCUUGGAGACUAGAUUGUUUGUUGGGGGUUGAGUUUUGCUUUCCAAAGCCAUGGCUGGCCCAGAAGUUAUCUGUAUUUUAAUGCUAAUUCCACUGCCCCAAAAACAGCUGCCUAGCAAGUUUUGCUUUCCAAAGCUGUUGCUUGCCCAGAAGUUAUCUGUAUUUUAAUGCUAAUUUCCACUGCCCAGAGAACAGCUGCCUAGUCACAUACUCAGAACUCAGGUGACCUCGUGGCUGUGUUCUGGUGUUACAAAGAGAACUUAAAGAUUGUGAUUUAGGAUUGCCAGUGUUACAUUGACUAACUCAAACUUAUUUUUAAUUAAGGAAAAAUCAAACAGGUAGAGAUUGUUACAGGAUUUAUAAGGAUUGAUGAGGUUUUAGAACUUGUGAGAGCAUUACAGCCAGUUUCCUUACUCCAACUGCCAUUUCAAGACAGAUUUAGAGGAUUGAUUUUAUACAAUUUGUUUUCGUCAUAACAAUUGUGAGUUUUCAUUUCGUGAGCUUGCUUAUAGUUUUAGAGAGCCCAUAAAGUGAUAUCAUUAAGAAUGGCUAAAAGCCUUAUAUUAUAUAAUUUUGUUGCUUCUUCAGUGUAAGAAGUUAGAACUUAAAUCUUUCAAUGUAUAUGGAAAUUUUUAUUACAAACCUUUGCUCUCAAAAUGAGCUUUAAUAUUUGGGGAGUAGCUGUUACACUACUCUGGAUAAGAAUAUUUAAAGCUAAUUCUAAGCUUCUAAAGAUAUGUUAAUUGGCUAAGUACCUCACCUUACCAGAGGACUUAGGUCUUUGUUAUGCACAAAGAGAUAAAGCUUCAGCUGUGUUAGUAAAGAGUUGUGGACUGGAGUCAUAGAAGUAGUUUGAAAAGAAAACUGGUAAAACAUAUCUUAUUUCCAAACAACAGUUAAUUGGUUAUUACUAAAUACUGAUAUUUGGCCUAUUACAAAUACAAAAUUUUCAGACAAAAUUGAUAAUUUUCCUCUUUACAUGCUUUUGUACUUCCUACAUAUUUGUGUGUACAACCCAUAGGAAAUGCGCUUAGUACAUUUAUAGGUGGUUCAUCUAAUGAAAAGGCUACAGGUAUGAUUGGAUCACUUAUUUAUUCCUUUGAGUUUCUAUUGCUUCAAUACAGAUUAUUUAAUUCCAUGCUUUAGCCGCUGUUUUUAAAAUGUUAAAAGAUCAAGUUUUCUAUUCAUAUACUGAUAGCCAAUGUGUGGUUUGUGGUUUACAAUUGAUUUCUAUUACUUAAUGCUUUAUUGGAGACAGGUUUUCUACUUAAAAUCAGUGAGUGAUUUCAAUGUAAAUUGUCUGACAACUCACUGUCCUUUCAGUGCUCUGGCUCAGACAACUAAACAAAACCAUAGACCCAGCUCUUUACAAAUGGUAAUAGAGUUGAUAACACACCCUCACGAAAAGAGGAAGACUCCAUUUGUUUACUUUCAACUCCCAGCCUCACCCUGCCAGCUCAGAGAUUUCUAGUAAGACUGAAUCUGGACAAUAUUUACAAGAUUUGACAUUUCUAAUUAAUGCUUAUGUUUAGGUAAAUAAAGUUUGUGAGGUGCUAGAAAAAUGGCUUAGUGGUUAAGAGCACUAAAUACUGUUCCUUUAUAGGACAUUUAAAAACUCAAACUGGAUUGCCUGGGCUCCUUAACAAGGGAGGACAAGAUACCAGACAGAUUAUAGGCCUUACAUAAGAACAAUUAGUGAAAAAAAAAUCUCAUUCUUUAUAUAUUCAAUACAAUUAUGCUAGAAACGAUAAUUUGGUAUACAAGUCAAUUUAUAAAUACAAGUGCUCAGUGUCCUCAACUUAAUCCUCGAGAACUUACCUUAAUAAAUAAUAUCUUUACUAUAUCUUAAUAAAUAAAAAGGGGGAGUUAUCCCUGUAUGCUAAAUAAUGCUCCUUUUAUUUCAGUUUUAAAAUUUUGGAUGCCAAAGUUUAUGGCACCCUACAACUAGACAUACUUCUGCCUAGGUGAAAUAGAGAUCCACUUAUUGACAUGUUCCUGUCCAGAUAUUUUAUAUGGGGAAGAGGGAAUGUUUGUGUUUUUUCUACAGGAUGCUGCAGGAGUGUGCCAGCUGCCUGAGUGUCUGGUGAGACAUGCUGAUCCUGGGAGCAUGAAGAUUCAGCUCUCGUGGUUCGGGUCCCUGGAGUCAUUCCUCUGCCCUGACAGGAAGAUAGAAGAUGCCCCUUCAUCCUUUGUCAUCACAGAGAUUUUGCCAUUGCUGCAGUCAGUGUUACCGCUGCGUGUGUUCCCGUCCCAUUGUGGCCUACGCUCAGACUCUGUACACUGCUGCUUCCUGGAGAAGACUGGACUCCAGCUGUUACCCCUGUCCUUUCAUUUCCCUGGUGACUCUUGCUGCCUUAACUGGUAACUGGUGUUGUCAUUUUACAGACUGUAGCUUCACAGAAAGCCACCUAUAUAAAGCUACAGUGACUAGAGAACUCUGUCCUGGUCAUACAGAUCUCAGAAAUUGGUUCCAUUGUCUGCUGGUUGUUCCAGAGAAAAAUGACUGAUCCUGAACUGUCCUGGAAAAGACCUUGACACUUUCGCUGCUAUUGUAGCAGCCAUUACUGCUGCAGACAUUGUGUCUGCAGUGUCUGGAGUUAUCCUCCCCCAAUCUAUUGUUAGACAAGUACAGUGGGUGAACUUUCUGGAGUAGUUACUAACAAUUGGAAAUUCUAAAUUUCAUUAUAGGAGUGGCUUGACCACGGCCCUUGGUGGCAACAGCUGAGGAGGACCAUAUGAGGUGCCCCCUACUUAUCGGGAGUGGCUCUGUCUGAUACAGCCCUAUGCUGUAGAUCAGUAUUCAUACCAUGGUUGGUUUACAAACUCGGAUCUCAACAGUAACGUGACAAGGCCGUUAUCACUCAAGCACUUGUGGCCAUUGUACAAAGGGCCUCACCUGGAAUUUGGUUAUCUUGUUCAGGAUUUACUCUGUAUCUGAGUUCCCUGCUCCUGCACCCCAUGGGUCUGUGGGUCCAAUCCACUGGGAGGAGAGGGAUACUCUCUAUAUCUGAGUUCUCUGCUCCUGCACCCCAUGGAUCUGUGGGUCCAUUACACUGGGAGGAGAGGGAUACUCUCUGUAUCUGAGUUCUCUGCUCCUACACCCCAUGGAUCUGUGGAUCCAUUACACUUGGAUUGAGAGAGACUCAGUGUUCCUUUGAUCAGCCCUUGCACAUCGCUGAGGUUUCCUCAUUGCACGCGAUAGGGUGAUCAUUUCUGCUAUAAAAUUAUAAUUAUAAGGGUGAGAUGUAGAGGGCCGCAAUACGUUCGUCACCACUAGUUGGCGCUGUCUUCCACUGCGCCCCACGUGGUAGGUCAGGAUAGACUCCGCCAAUGAAAGAUGGCUCCAACCUUCGCCGCUCCAGCCGGCCCCCCCUUUCAGGUAGUUAACUGUGCUCAUGUGCAAGAGUGCCUUCCUGCCAGGUCUUUGCCCAUUCCGGGGCGUGCCUGAUGAGAUCAUGAGUAAGCAACCAAUCAGGUGUGGAUGCGUGCUCCAGGGUUAAAUAGGCACGCCUGGCUGGCGCGCGGGGCUUCUCCAUGAGAUAGGAAUAAAGUAUCACUCAUAGCAAGAAUUUCUAUGUCUCGCGUGCUUCUUGCCGGCGGAAAGUCGCGCGCGGGACACUAUACUGUCCUGGACAUUGUUUUCUAGUGUUCUCUCUAGGCCAUAUUGCAAAGUUUUAAGUUUAUCUAUCUGUUGCUCAAUCUCAUCUAUGAAAUUUUCAAGUGUUUGCUCUAAUUUGUUUUCUAAGGCACAUACUUUUUUACCUAGGACACUGUUUUAUGAGAAGACACAGUAAAUCAAGAGAAUAAAUAUUGCAUUAAUAAUAAAUUCCAAAGUGUCUAAUUUAUUUAAAUCUAUUCCUGUCAAACUGUUCGAAUUAUUAUCACAUAACGUUAUUUAUUACGUUUCUCAUCUAUAUAUAUGUAUGUAUGUAUAUACGUAUUUCAUGUAUGUAUGUAUAAUCAAGGUAUAAUACUUAUUAAAUGGUCUCGAAGCC
Molecule: non-coding RNA, 5388 nt
Organism: Rattus norvegicus (Norway rat)
Lineage: Eukaryota; Metazoa; Chordata; Mammalia; Rodentia; Muridae
Source: RefSeq, a predicted model, not a curated record